This 483-nucleotide ribosomal RNA is filed under the name uncultured bacterium. Its description in RNAcentral is "partial 16S ribosomal RNA". It matches the Rfam family "Bacterial small subunit ribosomal RNA", at positions 28 to 507 of the family's 1533-position model. The record is from RNAcentral.
GACGAACGCUGGCGGCGUGCUUAACACAUGCAAGUCGAACGCUGAAGCUCAGCUUUUGUUGGGUGGAUGAGUGGCGAACGGGUGAGUAACACGUGAGUAACCUGCCUCCUUCUUUGGGAUAACGCCCGGAAACGGGUGCUAAUACUGGAUAUUCACUGGUCUUCGCAUGGGGGUUGGUGGAAAGGGUUUUUCUGGUGGGGGAUGGGCUCGCGGCCUAUCAGCUUGUUGGUGGGGUGAUGGCCUACCAAGGCUUUGACGGGUAGCCGGCCUGAGGGGGUGACCGGUCACAUUGGGACUGAGAUACGGCCCAGACUAGUACGGGAGGCAGCAGUGGGGAAUAUUGCACAAUGGGCGCAAGACUGAUGCAGCGACGCCGCGGGAGGGAUGGAGGCCUUCGGGUUGUGAACCUCUUUCGCUCAUGGUCAAGCCGCAACAAUGGUUGUGGUGAGGGUAGUGGGUAAAGAAGCGCCGGCUAACUACGUG